UAGGGAAUCUUCGGCAAUGGGGGGAACCCUGACCGAGCAACGCCGCGUGAGUGAAGAAGGUUUUCGGAUCGUAAAGCUCUGUUGUUAAGGAAGAACGAGUGUGAGAAUGGAAAGUUCAUACUGUGACGGUACUUAACCAGAAAGGGACGGCUAACUACGUGCCAGCAGCCGCGGUAAUACGUAGGUCCCGAGCGUUGUCCGGAUUUAUUGGGCGUAAAGCGAGCGCAGGCGGUUAGAUAAGUCUGAAGUUAAAGGCAGUGGCUCAACCAUUGUAGGCUUUGGAAACUGUUUAACUUGAGUGCAGAAGGGGAGAGUGGAAUUCCAUGUGUAGCGGUGAAAUGCGUAGAUAUAUGGAGGAACACCGGUGGCGAAAGCGGCUCUCUGGUCUGUAACUGACGCUGAGGCUCGAGAGCGUGGGGAGCGAACAGG
RNAcentral lists this ribosomal RNA (429 nucleotides) under Bacteroidota bacterium. RNAcentral describes it as "Bacteroidetes bacterium partial 16S ribosomal RNA". It matches the Rfam family "Bacterial small subunit ribosomal RNA", at positions 355 to 776 of the family's 1533-position model. The record is from RNAcentral. Lineage: Bacteria; Pseudomonadati; Bacteroidota.